Molecule: long non-coding RNA, 2126 nt
Organism: Siniperca chuatsi (mandarin fish)
Lineage: Eukaryota; Metazoa; Chordata; Actinopteri; Centrarchiformes; Sinipercidae
Exons: 4
Source: RefSeq, a predicted model, not a curated record
CUCAGUUUUAGCCUAAUUAGCUGCACCUGUGACCUCUCAGCAUCUGACCGCCGCCUGCUCACCUCCAUCAAGACUCCACCUUGAAUACCUGUAUAUACGUUUUAUCAGAAGUCUCUCCCGAAGUAAUGUUCCACCUGGAAGUUGGCGUUUCCUGUCCUGCUGUCUGCCUGCACAUUUGGACCAUGGCUCUUCUCUCCAUGAGACACCAGGGACCACUGCUUCACUUCAACAAGCUAAAUCCCCGAACUCCCUGAAGGACUGCUAAACACUGGCGACAAUAAGCGAAAACCUUAAAACUCCCAUCUGUUGAAGGAAGCCAAAACUGAGAGGAAGUCCAGAUGAGACGAUAAUCCACAGAACAAAGCCUGCAGAUGAUCUGCGGCUGUUCAGCUUCCAGUCCUGGCAGCUCUCGCCUCUCUGGCCAACGGGAACCUUAACCAGCCUUCUGUCUCUGGAGCUUUCCUCCCAUUCGCCCCCUCCCCAGUCCUCCAAACCUCCAGGCUCUGCCCAGUUGUCUGUUCCAGACUCUGUGGGACGAUUUAGGGAGCUGCUAGCCAGCAAGGAUGAAUGAAGGGCUCCGGCAUGGCGGGAUGAACUCUUUCUCCCAUAUUUACAACCGCUCAGACAGUCCAUGACAGGUGCCUUCCCACAGGCCAACUUCUCUCAGUUAGAGGGGCAUUAGGUAAUGUAUGAAUUUCAUUGAACUCAGGGAUGAGGGGGAGCUGCAGCAUCACUGACAGCAGCAUUCAUCUCAUCUCUAGUUUACCCCCACUCAUUGUGUCCCCUUUAUUUUAUCUGUAGAAAAACAGGUUUGGGCAGACAUGCAACAAUAACAUCUAGUAAAGAGGUUGUUUGAUGAUGCAGCAUGCUAAAACAAUGACAUUAAUAAAAUAAAUAAUAUUUUUGGCCUCAUAACAAGAUCAUCUGUAAUGUCUUUCAGUGUCCAGUUGUAGCACCAUCUGUCAGUGUUUUCGAUCUAACACAGGUUGGGAAAGUUAGUUUUCAAAAGCUAGAAAUCCCUGCACUUGCUGAAGUAAUCGUUGAGUCAUUGGUAUUGAACCCUGUGAAACCCCUGCAGACCCACACUGUGGUCAUUUUGUGCUAUGGGGCUGUAAAUAUCUUACUUAUUGCACCUUUAAGAGGUGAGAAAUCGAACAUCUGAUGCCCAGCCGAGGGUGUGAAUGGAGGCGGCUGUAAUCCUCCCUGUGUUUAUGUGUUACAUAUGUCUGUAUGUGUGUGGGUGCAUAGCAUGUAUGCGAUUUAUGUAGUAACUGACAGCUUCUUAAAGACUGCAGAUAUGUUUUUUCCUUUUAUUAUGGAAAUGCCUAUACUCUCCAGAUAGAGAAGAGUAUAUAUUUUUCAUGGAUUCACUAAAAUCCUUACUGCAGCACUGGAACCACACCAGCAACAAUACAAUACUGUAUGUCUUAAACAGAAACCAAAAAAAUAAAAAUAAAAACUACUGCAAAAUAUUUUUAAAAGGAUUUCUACUCUUCACUUGUGAAUGUGGAUGAUGACAUUUAAAGAGCUAUGUUGAGAAAUACGAGGGUUCUGAUAUUCCCCAGUUAUAAACCACUGGAUGAUUUGUAGUGUUAAUAUAUUUGUGACACAACAUCAGCCGUCUGUGGGGAGGAAAACUGCAGAAAACAGUGAAGCGGCAACAUCCGAAGUGUCAAAAAGAGGAACUUUACAGGAAAGUAGCAGCACACUCACUUCUAUUCUCUCAAGGUGUUUCUUCAACAUCUCAAUCCAAACUGCUAUAAACUUAGUUUUUCAAAUGGUAUAUAACUAAAUUGGAAUUUAAGCUUUUACACCUAAUAACAUCACAUUGUGAGAUGCUGAUUCAUCAGACACGAAUAUACACAUUCACAUUGUUUACAGCUUUUCACCCUGAUUUUUUUCCCCAAAAAUGCACCGAUUAGUUUCCCCUUUCAUCCAAAAGUUGUAUUUCCUCCUGUACCAACAUGUUGGUCAUCACAGUUCACAGUAAACAAGGUCCUCUAGGAAAAACUAAGAGCUCAGAAGGAGAAGUGAAAAAUGGAGAGAGUGUGCAAAUGAGCUGUUGUUUAUCUACCCGAGUCCCUUUAGGUACGAACAACAUAAUGGUAUUUUGAAAAUUUCAAAUA